RNAcentral lists this ribosomal RNA (424 nucleotides) under uncultured bacterium. RNAcentral's name for it is "bacterial SSU rRNA". It matches the Rfam family "Bacterial small subunit ribosomal RNA", at positions 359 to 773 of the family's 1533-position model. The record is from RNAcentral.
GAAUUUUUCGCAAUGGGCGCAAGCCUGACGAAGCAACGCCGCGUGGAGGAUGAAGGCCUUCGGGUUGUAAACUCCUGUCGACCGGGACGAAAAUAGUCCGACCUAAUACGUCGGGCUAUCGACUGUACCGGUGGACGAAGCCACGGCUAAAUCUGUGCCAGCAGCCGCGGUAAUACAGAGGUGGCAAGCGUUGUUCGGAAUUACUGGGCGUAAAGGGCGCGUAGGCGGCCUUCUAAGUCUUGUGUGAAAUCCCUCGGCUCAACUGAGGAACUGCACGGGAUACUGGAUGGCUUGAGUUCGGGAGAGGGAAGCGGAAUUCCGGGUGUAGCGGUGAAAUGCGUAGAUAUCCGGAGGAACACCGGUGGCGAAGGCGGCUUCCUGGACCGAUUACUGACGCUGAGGCGCGAAAGCUAGGGGAGCAAAC